Molecule: ribosomal RNA, 433 nt
Filed under: uncultured bacterium
Lineage: Bacteria
Description: partial 16S ribosomal RNA
Rfam family: Bacterial small subunit ribosomal RNA
Source: RNAcentral
AACGAACGCUGGCGGCAUGCCUAACACAUGCAAGUCGAACGAGACUUUCGGGUCUAGUGGCGCACGGGUGCGUAACGCGUGGGAACCUGCCCUUAGGUUCGGAAUAACUCCCCGAAAGGGGUGCUAAUACCGGAUAAUGUCUUCGGACCAAAGAUUUAUCGCCUUUGGAUGGGCCCGCGUUGGAUUAGCUAGUUGGUAGGGUAAAAGCCUACCAAGGCGACGAUCCAUAGCUGGUCUGAGAGGAUGAGCAGCCACACUGGGACUGAGACACGGCCCAGACUCCUACGGGAGGCAGCAGUGGGGAAUAUUGGACAAUGGGCGAAAGCCUGAUCCAGCAAUGCCGCGUGAGUGAUGAAGGCCUUAGGGUUGUAAAGCUCUUUUACCCGGGAUGAUAAUGACAGUACCGGGAGAAUAAGCUCCGGCUAACUCCGUG